RNAcentral lists this non-coding RNA (123 nucleotides) under Sorex araneus (European shrew). The record is from RNAcentral. Lineage: Eukaryota; Metazoa; Chordata; Mammalia; Eulipotyphla; Soricidae.
GUGUUGUAUGAAAGGAGAGAAGGUUAGCACUCCCCUUGACAAGAAUGGAAGAGGCUUCGGCCUGCAACAUGCAUAUGGUUAAGGUACUGCCACCUACUUCAUGGCAUCUAACCAACGUUUUGG